CUGGAAUUAAACUGCUGCUGACACAUCUGUCUUAGAUUGCGUUUCACUGUGAGCUUCUGACCUGCUGCAAAAUCCCUUUCAGAAAGCGGCUCCUUAGGUGUGCUGAGGUCUCCUUUUGAAAUGACAAAAAGGAAAAAGCAGUUUUCAAUAGGCAGCUGGGUGAGUUCCCCUGAAAUGAUUGUUUUAUGCUGCUGAAUUUUAAAAUGUACUGUUAUUAGUAUAGUAGGCUCUGAACAUGCUGAAGAGGUGUCUUCAGGUAUUUAAAUCAAAAUAAAUAAAAUAUUGACUAAGCUGAGCUCAGUAGCUCACUGAAUUAAACAGAAGCAUUAUAUUCCAGUUUUAAAUGAUGCUUUUGUAGGGAUUUAUUCCAGUUUAAAUCAAUGCUUAAAACUCUCCACUCUGAAUUGAUGUGGUACAAACUUGUGUGCAUAGACAAAAUCUGAGAGGUACUAUAGCACUCACUUGAAACUUGCAGGAAGAUUUUUUUUUUUCCCUUUCCUUGAAUGUUGUUAUUUCCCACAUCAUAGAAUCAUAGAAUAUCCCGAGUUGGAAGGGACCCCCAAGGAUCAUCGAGUCCAGCUCCUGACUCCACACAGGAACAUCCAAAAUCCAAACCCGAUGUCUGAGAGCAUUGUCCAAAUGCUUAUUGAACUUUGUCAGGACUGGUGGCGUGCCCACUGCCCUGGCCCUGUUCCAGGGCCCGACCACGUCUGAGGAAGAACCUUUCCCUAGCCCCCACCUGCCCCUCCCCUGACGCAGCUCCAUGCCGUUCCCUCGGGCGCUGUCGCUGUCACCAGAGAGCGGAGCUCAGCGCUGCCCUUCUCCUCCCUGUGAGGAGCUGCAGCCGCCAUGAGGCCUCCCCUCAGCCUGCCCUGCUCUGGGCUGAACAGACCCAGGGACCUCAGCUGCUCCUCAUACACUUUCCCAUCCUGACCCUUCUCCGUCUUCAUAGUCUUCUUUUGGAUGCUAUCAAGUACUUUGUCACCUUCUAGAUUCUUAGUACCCUAUAAUUUUUCCACAUUUGUCAGGCUCUGGGCAUGUCAGGGAAGGUGGAACAAUAAAAUGUUGUCUUCAUCCACGGAACAGAGUGCUUUCCUCAGUGCAUCUCUUCACUACACCAAGUAUUUGGCAUGUGAACAGCUACAGUGA
This 1149-nucleotide long non-coding RNA is filed under the name Numida meleagris (helmeted guineafowl). RNAcentral describes it as "lncRNA (ENSNMEG00000004921.1)". The record is from RNAcentral. Lineage: Eukaryota; Metazoa; Chordata; Aves; Galliformes; Numididae.